Molecule: ribosomal RNA, 490 nt
Filed under: uncultured bacterium
Lineage: Bacteria
Description: bacterial SSU rRNA
Rfam family: Bacterial small subunit ribosomal RNA
Source: RNAcentral
AGCGGCAGGCUUAAUACAUGCAAGUUGAGGGGCAGCAUGAUAUACGCGAGUAUAUUGAUGGCGACCGGCGGACGGGUGAGUAAUAGGUAGGAGACCUACCUCAGUACAGGGGGAUAGCAUAGAGAAAUCUGUGGUAAUACCCCAUGAGGUUAUAUGAAUAGAGGCAUAUAAUCAAAGCAUAAGCGAUUAUGCGGUAUGAGAGGGGCCUACUGACCAUUAGCUAGUUGGCGGGGUAAUGGCCCACCAAGGCGACGAUCCGUAGCUGGUCUGAGAGGAUGAUCAGCCACACUGGAACUGAGACACGGUCCAGACUCCUACGGGAGGCAGCAGUAGGGAAUAUUGGACAAUGGGCGCAAGCCUGAUCCAGCCAUGCCGCGUGAGUGAAGAAGGCCCUCGGGUUGUAAAGCUCUUUUGUCCGGAAAGAAAAGCGCCGGGUUAAUACCCUAGUGUCCUGACGGUACCGGAAGAAUAAGCACCGGCUAACUUCGUG